Long non-coding RNA from Oncorhynchus masou masou (cherry salmon), 731 nucleotides. RefSeq lists it as uncharacterized. The transcript is spliced from 3 exons. The record is from RefSeq and is a predicted model, not a curated record. NCBI's taxonomy places the organism in Eukaryota, Metazoa, Chordata, Actinopteri, Salmoniformes, Salmonidae.
GGAGAGUAGACAGGACUGUCUGGAGAGAGGAGCAGAUCUGGUGAUCAUAAACAGUGAUAAGGAACAGGAGUUUCUCUUCAGCUUCAAUAAGAGAGCCUGGAUUGGUCUGACUGACUCUGUUACUGAGGGGGCCUGGAAAUGGGUGGACGGCACCGCACUGACCACCCCAAGUUACUGGUACUUACAGCAGCCUGAUAAUGGUGGUGACAACCCAGCAAAUGGGGAGGAGGACUGUGUUGAGCUGAACACAGAAACCUGGCGUCCUGUAAAGGCAUGGAAUGACCAGUCAUGUUUAGACAAUCGUCAUUGGAUUUGUGAGAAAAGUGGUUUAACAACACCAUGACAACAGAGGAGGCUGGUGGGAGAACGCGCACACAUACAGCACCUUACAGUGCACACAACUUCAUUCUCUCUCUCUCUAAGACACAGACACACCAACACACUGCUGGUACUCUACUGAGUGGCAAACAAUCUGAUAAUGGUUGUGAACCAGGAUAUACUGUAACAAGGACUGUGCUGAUGUUAAUAUUGGGUAUUCUGAGUCUGUAUAUAAAUAUUAUGACAUAGCAUUUACCUCUCUUCAUAACUGGAUUUGUGAAGAGUUAUACAGUAGCUCAUUAUAUAGUAGUGCUACAGUGCUAAUGCAUCUCUCUCUAAUUAAACAGUGUGUAGACAUAUUGUCAUCUGUAAAAUGCUUGUAUUCAUUGUUUAAAUAGAAACAUAUUAUGUGA